RNAcentral lists this ribosomal RNA (253 nucleotides) under uncultured bacterium. RNAcentral's name for it is "partial 16S ribosomal RNA". It matches the Rfam family "Bacterial small subunit ribosomal RNA", at positions 524 to 776 of the family's 1533-position model. The record is from RNAcentral.
UACGUAGGGUGCAAGCGUUAAUCGGAAUUACUGGGCGUAAAGCGUGCGCAGGCGGUUGUGCAAGACAGAUGUGAAAUCCCCGGGCUUAACCUGGGAACUGCAUUUGUGACUGCACGGCUAGAGUGUGUCAGAGGGGGGUAGAAUUCCACGUGUAGCAGUGGAAUGCGUAGAUAUGUGGAGGAAUACCGAUGGCGAAGGCAGCCCCCUGGGAUAACACUGACGCUCAUGCACGAAAGCGUGGGGAGCAAACAGG